Long non-coding RNA from Heterocephalus glaber (naked mole-rat), 2020 nucleotides. NCBI's taxonomy places the organism in Eukaryota, Metazoa, Chordata, Mammalia, Rodentia, Bathyergidae. The record is from Ensembl.
GCAGGAGGGAGCAAAGCAGGUCCAUCUGUUUGGUCCAUCUGCUCGCAUCUGUUGGUUCACGCUGCCAGCUGUGCAGCUAUGAAGACAGUAGACUGUGGGAAGGAGUACAUUGUCUCCCUACUACGUGCACAUACACGAGCAGACACAAGGCGUCCAUAGGUGAAAGGGAAGUUCCCUUCUAGUCCCCUCCUUUUGUGCCUCCCAUCUGUCCUCAUCCUAGACCAGUAGUUUUCAAUCUUGAUUGCAUGUCAGAAUCACUUGCAAAAUUUUGUAAACAUCCAGAUUCCUUUCAGAACUUGGCAGAGAACUCGUGAUUGGUGUGUCUGGUUUAGGCCUGAUGUGCAGUCUUCUCCCCUCCGCUCCCCUCCUCUCUGCUUCCUUUUUUUGGAGACGGCUCACAAUCCUCCUGUCUCAGCCCCUGGAGCACGGAGAUUAUAGGCAUGUACCACCACACCUGGCAGUGUCUUUUCUAAAGGUGGGUCCAACCCUACCCUGGGUGGAAAACCAUGGUCUAUCAAGGGAUCACAAACACGUGUGCAGGGCCCAGGAAUGUAACAAAAGACUGGGAGCGCAGACAGUGGUAACCUUAAGAGUAUCUGUACCACCUGAUGGCAGUCAGGUUCAAUAAAGGACGGUGCCAGGGAAACCUAGAUAGUUGAUUAAUGGCCCCGGCAACUUCAGUUUUGCUCCUGUGCCCUAGAAGGCAGCCCCUGCCCCAUCCCGAGGCACCUUCAUGUAGGCCGUGCGGGAGCAGCUGCUGCAGUCCUUCCUAGCUCGUUCACCACCACGAAGUACUGGCCACUGUCCUUUGGUGCGCAGGUGGGGGUGACGAUGCUGCACAUGCCGCUGGUGGAGUUGUAGCAGAGCUUGGAGUUGGCCGUGAUGCUGACCUCGCCCUUCUGCAGGGUCACCGUGGGCCUCCAGUUCCCAAGGAAGGCGCAGGUCAUGGUGCAGUCCUGGCUGAGGAGCAGCGUGUGUGGCUUGAGCGGGGUGAGGAAGCGAGGUGUGUGGCGCCAGUCCUCUUGCUGGUAGGGCUUCACCUUCAUGCUCAGGUCCUCCACUGUGGGGGUGGGGGGGCACAGGGCAGGUGGUGGUGAGUGAUCCCCAGGACCCACCUGCCACCCUGGUUUUUGAGCUAGGAAGGUGCCCUGGAGACCCAGCUUUGUGGAACCACAGAGAUCUGGGCCAGAUUCUCAGAUGCCAGCAACUGUGGGACCCCCCGUUGUACUGAUUCCUAAGGGCUCCUCCCCUAGGGUCCCCCACCCCACCGCCUACCCCCAUCCACUCCAGGAUUCCUCAGCUCAAACGGAGGUUUGCAUGUUUUUACAUCUUCCCAGGUUAGAGGGGCCUUUCUAGCCCCAGCUUGUCAGACCAAGGUACUGGGUAUUCGAAACUGUUACCCAGACCCCGUGUAAUUUUAACUUGUGCCUUCUCUCUGUCAUUCGGCCCCACAUUUCCUGUGUUUACUGAUGCUUCUCCACUUAUAAUCCCUUCCCUCCCUGCUUCCCAGGUUUCUUUGUUUUUUUUUGAGACAGGGUCUCAUUAUGUACCCGAGGCUGGCGAGGCUGGCCUUGAACUUGUGGCAAUCCUCCUGCCUCAGCCUCCUGAAUGCUAGGAUUACAGGUGUGUGCCACCAUGCCCAGCAGGUUUCCCACAUUUUAUCCUGAGCUCCCCAGAGUCCCUUCCCAGUCCUCAGCCCAAUCACCCCUCCCUUCAGAGCAGACCAGGAGGUCCCCCCACCCCUGCCACUCUCUGUCCCUCUACUGUCACCUCCAUCCCCAGGGACACCUCCCCACCUCCAUGGCAGGCUCACCGUGCAGAGUCUCCCUAAGAUACUUCUCUCCUAAGCUUCCUCAACAUCUAUACCCCACCCCCUUCCAUCUCUGCAGCUGUCUGAUUUCAUCUUAAUCCCUGGUACCCUUUUCUGACCCUUAUGUCAUCUCUGCAUCAGGGGUCCCAAAUCUCAAAUCCCCUACUCACUCUGAUCUUUUUUUUUUUGGUACCGGGGAUUGAACUCGGG